Terrapene triunguis (Three-toed box turtle) is the source of this 417-nucleotide long non-coding RNA. RefSeq lists it as uncharacterized. The record is from RefSeq and is a predicted model, not a curated record. NCBI's taxonomy places the organism in Eukaryota, Metazoa, Chordata, Testudines, Emydidae. The transcript has 3 exons.
CCUUCCCCACAGGGGCAGCUUCACUUCCUGCCCUUCCUUCUCCCCUCCCCUCUUGGCCCUUCUUCGAUGGGGUCUCUGAACAGGAAAUGAGCAGGGGCUUCCUCCCCUCUCUGUCUUCCAGGCUCUGGGAUCUGGCCUUGCCUCCUACAUCAAUGUAGUCUGCAGCUGGCCCAGCUUGUGGGGCAAUGACCUCAUCCUGUCAAACCGAGAAGUGCUGGCUCUCAGUGAUGCUUAGAUGGAAAACCACACACCCCUCAUGGAGGAAAAUCAUCCCCAAAGGAGGUGUAAGGAUCCUGGACUCUAUUGCCUGCAAGAAGCUUCAGCCACCUUCACAGUCAGGCUAGGGCUCACUGUCCAUUGUGGAGGUGAAAAGCGGAUGGGAGCUGCUGGAUUGGCCUUGAUAUGCCAUGUCCUUGU